AAAUACUCAGUCUAAAUUGGUGAGAAGAGUCAGAGGAGUUUGCACUCCUGCAUCAGCCAGAGAGAGUAAUGGAGCAAACUGAACUCUCCACAGACACAGCUAACAAAGUGAUUUUAUGCAGGGCAGCCAUUGCCUGGAGGGCAAAUGCUCCCCUGUCCAUUGAACUACUUGAAGUUGAUCCACCAAAGGCUUGUGAGGUUCGAAUUAAGAUUCUAUCUUCUGGGAUCUGUGGUACCGAUCUGCACAUCCUAGAAGGGAGAAACAAAGUACCUCUUCCUGCAGUUUUGGGCCAUGAGGGAGCUGGAAUUAUAGAGAGUGUUGGAGAAGGUGUAACCUCUGUGAAACCAGGAGAUAAAGUCUUAAUGUUACCUCUUCCAGAGUGCAGAGAAUGCUGUUUCUGUUUGCACCCCAAGGGCAACGUAUGUGUGAAGGAAGAUAUUCUUUCUCCAACUGGAUUAAUGUUAGAUGGAACCAGCAGGUUUACCUGCAAAGCACAGAAGAUUCAUCAUCUUUUUGGCACUAGCACCUUCACUGAAUAUACUGUUGUGCAUGAAAUUGCAGUGGUAAAAAUUGAUGAUGCUUCUCCAAUGAAUAAAGUCUGUAUCAUUAGCUGUGAGGUGCCUACAGGCUUUGGAGCCGUAUUUAACACUGCAAAGGUUACUCCUGGUUCCACCUGUGUUGUCUUUGGACUUGGAGGAAUUGGUUCAGCCAUAGUCAUGGCAUGCAAAGCCUCUGGUGCUUGUAGGAUCAUUGGGGUUGACAUCAACGAGAAUAAAUUUCCCAGGGCAAGAGCAUUAGGAGUCACAGAUUUUCUCAACCCUCGGAACCUCAAGAAGCCUGUUCAGCAGGUGGUAGUUGAAAUGACAGGCUUCGGUGCUGACUUUGCCUUUGAGGCCAUCGGACUCAUUGAUACCAUGGUUGCGGCUUUGGAGUCAUGCCGUCGGAGCUAUGGAGUCUGUGUGAUUAUGGGAGUAGCCCCCAACCGUGAACAACUCUCCUUUGAUCCACAGUUGAUUAACUCUGGGAGAACCCUGAAAGGCAGCUUUUUGGGAGGUAGGUCUUUGAUGCCACAUCACCUUUUCCAGAAAUCUGGUCACCCUGCAUUGUCUUUGGCAAGAAACGAAGGAAUGAAAAGAGUACAAAAGCAGAGAUUGCAUUCCUAAACUUGUAACUGACUACCUGCAAAAAAAAAUCAACAUAGAUCCACUUAUAACUCAUACAUUCCAUUUUGAAAGAAUAAACAAUGCAUUUGAAGUGCUCCAGGAUGAAAAUGAAAAUUGUAUCCGCUGUGUCCUCUUGUUUUGAGAUUCCCAGAUGAUAAAAUGGAGCGUGAAUUUCCUCAGCAAUGCUAUUUGCUUCCUUUUUCACUACCUUGAUGACUCCAUUCCAAUAUAUAUAACCCAAAAUUGGAAAGAGAGCACUUCUGGAAUUUUAAGAAAUAAAACUGUUAUAAUAAACUAUUUUGAAACUGG
Molecule: RNA transcript, 1472 nt
Organism: Myotis myotis
Lineage: Eukaryota; Metazoa; Chordata; Mammalia; Chiroptera; Vespertilionidae
Gene name: alcohol dehydrogenase 1-like
Exons: 9
Source: RefSeq, a predicted model, not a curated record